UACGGGGGGAGCAAGCGUUGUUCGGAUUUACUGGGCGUAAAGGGCGCGUAGGCGGUCAGCACAAGUCAGUUGUGAAAUCUCCGGGCUUAACUCGGAAAGGUCAACUGAUACUGUGCGACUAGAGUGCAGAAGGGGCAACUGGAAUUCCCGGUGUAGCAGUGAAAUGCGUAGAUAUCGGGAGGAAUACCGAUGGCGAAGGCAGGUCUCUGGGCUAUAACUGACGCUCAUGCACGAAAGCGUGGGGAGCAAACAGG
This 254-nucleotide ribosomal RNA is filed under the name uncultured bacterium. RNAcentral describes it as "partial 16S ribosomal RNA". It matches the Rfam family "Bacterial small subunit ribosomal RNA", at positions 524 to 776 of the family's 1533-position model. The record is from RNAcentral.